GUUUGAAUGAUGACUUCCUACUUUGUCGGAUACCCCUUCACUCUUCCUGUGAGUGACAACAGUGGUCUGACAAAC
This 75-nucleotide small nucleolar RNA is filed under the name Tinamus guttatus (white-throated tinamou). Its description in RNAcentral is "Small nucleolar RNA SNORD101". It matches the Rfam family "Small nucleolar RNA SNORD101". Rfam says of the family: snoRNA U101 is a member of the C/D class of snoRNA which contain the C (UGAUGA) and D (CUGA) box motifs and guide the 2'-O-methylation of rRNA and snRNAs. The precise target of this family is unknown. Lineage: Eukaryota; Metazoa; Chordata; Aves; Tinamiformes; Tinamidae. The record is from Rfam by way of RNAcentral.